AUGGGGAGGCUGGUUUACAUCAACUCAGUGGUCACUAGCACUGCCAUUUUCUUCCUAACAGCUUUCCAACCGGAUAAAUGGUUCAUUAGAAAGGUGGACAAACUCAGAAGGAAUUUCCUAUGGGAAAUUGAAGAAAGAGCGGCUGGAGGCAAGUGUCUUGUAAACUGGAAGCGGGCCUGCUCCCCCAAGGUUGUUGGUGGUUUAGGUAUCAAGAACAUCGAGUGUUUCAGCCGGGCCUUGCGCUUGAGAUGGGAAUGGUUCAGAUGGGAUGACGCCGAUCGACCGUGGAAAGGAUCUCCUACCCCGUGCGACGCCAUUGAUAGACAGCUGUUCUCGAGCUGCUCCUCUAUUCAGUUGGGUGAUGGUCGACUUGCGCUGUUCUGGAUGGACAGAUGGAUGCAUGGGGAGGCCCCUUAUUUGAUUGCACCGGAGAUUUUCAAGUUGGCGCGGUUCAAGAAAAUUACUGUAAAAGAGACUUUCACAAACGGCCGAUGGAUGCAAGGUCUGCAAAGAAUGAACAACGAUGAGCAGCUAGCACAAUUUGUCAGAAUUUGGGAGGAGGUUCAGCUGGUGAGCCUGUCGGAAGCAAAAGAUGUGAUCAGGUGGCUAACGGCUCCUACUUUGCGUGCUCUGCGUAUGGCAUUCAGUUUGCGAUCAGGAUCGAGCAGCCGGAUCUUGAGAGAAUAUGGAGAUGCAAGAUGGAGGGGAAGAUCAAAUUUUACGUUUGGUUACUCCUGCAGAACAGGAAUUGGACGGCGGAUCGACUGCUAG
Molecule: ribosomal RNA, 771 nt
Filed under: Triticum aestivum (bread wheat)
Lineage: Eukaryota; Viridiplantae; Streptophyta; Magnoliopsida; Poales; Poaceae
Description: partial small subunit ribosomal RNA
Source: RNAcentral